RNAcentral lists this non-coding RNA (85 nucleotides) under Pycnococcus provasolii. Lineage: Eukaryota; Viridiplantae; Chlorophyta; Pseudoscourfieldiophyceae; Pseudoscourfieldiales; Pycnococcaceae. The record is from RNAcentral.
CCAACCGACCACUACGGAAACACGCGCCACGCCGUCGAGCUGACGGGAGAUACCUUUCCGAAAUUUGUCGCAGACUACAAGGUGG